This 492-nucleotide ribosomal RNA is filed under the name uncultured bacterium. RNAcentral describes it as "partial 16S ribosomal RNA". It matches the Rfam family "Bacterial small subunit ribosomal RNA", at positions 29 to 507 of the family's 1533-position model. The record is from RNAcentral.
AGUGAACGCUGGCGGUAGGCCUAACACAUGCAAGUCGAACGGCAGCACAGUAAGAGCUUGCUCUUACGGGUGGCGAGUGGCGGACGGGUGAGGAAUACAUCGGAAUCUACUUUUUCGUGGGGGAUAACGUAGGGACACUUUCGCUAAUACCGCAUACGACCUACGGGUGAAAGCAGGAGAUCUUCGGACCUUGCGCGAUUGAAUGAGCCGAUGUCGGAUUAGCUAGUUGGCGGGGUAAAGGCCCACCAAGGCGACGAUCCGUAGCUGGUCUGAGAGGAUGAUCAGCCACACUGGAACUGAGACACGGUCCAGACUCCUACGGGAGGCAGCAGUGGGGAAUAUUGGACAAUGGGCGCAAGCCUGAUCCAGCCAUACCGCGUGGGUGAAGAAGGCCUUCGGGUUGUAAAGCCCUUUUGUUGGGAAAGAAAAGCAGCAGGUUAAUACCCCGCUGUUCUGACGGUACCCAAAGAAUAAGCACCGGCUAACUUCGUG